RNAcentral lists this ribosomal RNA (497 nucleotides) under uncultured bacterium. RNAcentral's name for it is "partial 16S ribosomal RNA". It matches the Rfam family "Bacterial small subunit ribosomal RNA", at positions 28 to 507 of the family's 1533-position model. The record is from RNAcentral.
GAUGAACGCUGGCGGCGUGCCUAAUACAUGCAAGUCGAGCGAACAGAUAAGGAGCUUGCUCCUUUGACGUUAGCGGCGGACGGGUGAGUAACACGUGGGUAACCUACCUAUAAGACUGGGAUAACUUCGGGAAACCGGAGCUAAUACCGGAUAACAUUUGGAACCGCAUGGUUCUAAAGUGAAAGAUGGUUUUGCUAUCACUUAUAGAUGGACCCGCGCCGUAUUAGCUAGUUGGUAAGGUAACGGCUUACCAAGGCAACGAUACGUAGCCGACCUGAGAGGGUGAUCGGCCACACUGGAACUGAGACACGGUCCAGACUCCUACGGGAGGCAGCAGUAGGGAAUCUUCCGCAAAGGGCGAAAGCCUGACGGAGCAGCGCCGCGUGAGUGAUGAAGGGUUUCGGCUCGUAAAACUCUGUUAUUAGGGAAGAACAAACGUGUAAGUAACUGUGCACGUCUUGACGGUACCUAAUCAGAAAGCCACGGCUAACUACGUG